This 456-nucleotide ribosomal RNA is filed under the name uncultured bacterium. RNAcentral describes it as "bacterial SSU rRNA". It matches the Rfam family "Bacterial small subunit ribosomal RNA", at positions 340 to 786 of the family's 1533-position model. The record is from RNAcentral.
UACGGGAGGCAGCAGUGGGGAAUAUUGCACAAUGGGCGCAAGCCUGAUGCAGCCAUGCCGCGUGUAUGAAGAAGGCCUUCGGGUUGUAAAGUACUUUCAGCGGGGAGGAAGGCGAUGCGGUUAAUAACCGCGUCGAUUGACGUUACCCGCAGAAGAAGCACCGGCUAACUCCGUGCCAGCAGCCGCGGUAAUACGGAGGGUGCAAGCGUUAAUCGGAAUUACUGGGCGUAAAGCGCACGCAGGCGGUCUGUUUAAGUCAGAUGUGAAAUCCCCGGGCUUAACCUGGGAACUGCAUUUUGAAACUGGCAGGCUUGAGUCUUGUAGAGGGGGUGAAUUCCAGGUGUAGCGGUGAAAUGCGUAGAGAUCUGGAGGAAUACCGGUGGCGAAGGCGGCCCCUGGGACAAAGCUGACGCUCAGGUGCGAAAGCGUGGGGAGCGAAACAGGGAUUAGGAUACC